This 77-nucleotide transfer RNA is filed under the name Rhodobiaceae bacterium. RNAcentral's name for it is "tRNA-Pro". It matches the Rfam family "tRNA". From Rfam's summary of the family: Transfer RNA (tRNA) molecules are approximately 80 nucleotides in length. Their secondary structure includes four short double-helical elements and three loops (D, anti-codon, and T loops). Lineage: Bacteria; Pseudomonadati; Pseudomonadota; Alphaproteobacteria; Hyphomicrobiales; Rhodobiaceae. The record is from RNAcentral.
CGGGGCAUGGCGCAGCCUGGUAGCGCACCUGGUUUGGGACCAGGGGGUCGUAAGUUCGAAUCUUACUGCCCCGACCA